RNAcentral lists this ribosomal RNA (257 nucleotides) under uncultured bacterium. RNAcentral's name for it is "partial 16S ribosomal RNA". It matches the Rfam family "Bacterial small subunit ribosomal RNA", at positions 333 to 604 of the family's 1533-position model. The record is from RNAcentral.
GUGAUCCUACGGGGGGCAGCAGUGGGGAAUAUUGGGCAAUGGGCGCAAGCCUGACCCAGCAACGCCGCGUGAAGGAAGAAGGCUUUCGGGUUGUAAACUUCUUUUAUCAGGGACGAAGCAAGUGACGGUACCUGAUGAAUAAGCCACGGCUAACUACGUGCCAGCAGCCGCGGUAAUACGUAGGUGGCAAGCGUUAUCCGGAUUUACUGGGUGUAAAGGGCGUGUAGGCGGGAGUGCAAGUCAGAUGUGAAAACUAU